Molecule: ribosomal RNA, 537 nt
Filed under: Rhodotorula toruloides
Lineage: Eukaryota; Fungi; Basidiomycota; Microbotryomycetes; Sporidiobolales; Sporidiobolaceae
Description: partial large subunit ribosomal RNA
Rfam family: Eukaryotic large subunit ribosomal RNA
Source: RNAcentral
CCCUAGUAGCGGCGAGCGAAGCGGGAAGAGCUCAAAUUUGUAAUCUGGCACCUUCGGUGUCCGAGUUGUAAUCUCUAGAAGUGUUUUCCGCGUUGGACCGCACACAAGUCUGUUGGAAUACAGCGGCAUAGUGGUGAUACCCCAUUACACGGUGCGGACGCCCAGCGCUUUGUGAUACACUUUCGACGAGUCGAGUUGUUUGGGAAUGCAGCUCAAAUUGGGUGGUAAAUUCCAUCUAAAGCUAAAUAUUGGCGAGAGACCGAUAGCGAACAAGUACCGUGAGGGAAAGAUGAAAAGCACUUUGGAAAGAGAGUUAAAAGUACGUGAAAUUGUUGGAAGGGAAACGCUUGAAGUCAGACUUGCUUGCCGGGCUUGCUCGGUUUGCAGGCCAGCAUCAGUUUUCUGGGACGGAUAAUGGCAGUUAGAAUGUAGCAGUCUCGGCUGUGUUAUAGCUUUCUGCUGGAUACGUCCUGGGGGACUGAGGAACGCAGCGUGCCGUAUGGCGAGGGCUUUGGUCCUUUCACGCUUAGGAUGCUG